AUUGAACGCUGGCGGCAGGCCUAACACAUGCAAGUCGAACGGUAACAGGAAGCAGCUUGCUGCUUCGCUGACGAGUGGCGGACGGGUGAGUAAUGUCUGGGAAGCUGCCUGAUGGAGGGGGAUAACUACUGGAAACGGUAGCUAAUACCGCAUAAUGUCGCAAGACCAAAGAGGGGGACCUUCGGGCCUCUUGCCAUCGGAUGUGCCCAGAUGGGAUUGGCUUGUUGGUGGGGUAACGGCUCACCAAGGCGACGAUCCCUAGCUGGUCUGAGAGGAUGACCAGCCACACUGGGACUGAGACACGGUCCAGACUCCUACGGGAGGCAGCAGUGGGGAAUAUUGCACAAUGGGCGCAAGCCUGAUGCAGCCAUGCCGCGUGUAUGAAGAAGGCCUUCGGGUUGUAAAGUACUUUCAGCGGGGAGGAAGGGAGUAAAGUUAAUACCUUUGCUCAUUGACGUUACCCGCAGAAGAAGCACCGGCUAACUCCGUG
Molecule: ribosomal RNA, 490 nt
Filed under: uncultured bacterium
Lineage: Bacteria
Description: partial 16S ribosomal RNA
Rfam family: Bacterial small subunit ribosomal RNA
Source: RNAcentral